CCUAGGGUGGCUGCAGUGGGGAAUAUUGGACAAUGGGCGAAAGCCUGAUCCAGCCAUGCCGCGUGUGUGAAGAAGGCCUUCGGGUUGUAAAGCACUUUCAGUGGGGAAGAAAGCCUUGGGGCUAAUACCCUCGAGGAAGGACAUCACCCACAGAAGAAGCACCGGCUAACUCCGUGCCAGCAGCCGCGGUAAUACGGAGGGUGCGAGCGUUAAUCGGAAUUACUGGGCGUAAAGCGCGCGUAGGCGGUCUGAUAAGCCGGUUGUGAAAGCCCCGGGCUCAACCUGGGAACGGCAUCCGGAACUGUCAGGCUAGAGUGCAGGAGAGGAAGGUAGAAUUCCCGGUGUAGCGGUGAAAUGCGUAGAGAUCGGGAGGAAUACCAGUGGCGAAGGCGGCCUUCUGGACUGACACUGACGCUGAGGUGCGAAAGCGUGGGUAGCAAACAGGAUUAGAUACCCCAGUAGUC
This 464-nucleotide ribosomal RNA is filed under the name Vreelandella stevensii. Its description in RNAcentral is "partial 16S ribosomal RNA". It matches the Rfam family "Bacterial small subunit ribosomal RNA", at positions 338 to 795 of the family's 1533-position model. The record is from RNAcentral. Lineage: Bacteria; Pseudomonadati; Pseudomonadota; Gammaproteobacteria; Oceanospirillales; Halomonadaceae.